Molecule: ribosomal RNA, 568 nt
Filed under: uncultured bacterium
Lineage: Bacteria
Description: bacterial SSU rRNA
Rfam family: Bacterial small subunit ribosomal RNA
Source: RNAcentral
CCUACGGGAGGCAGCAGCAAGGAAUUUUCGGCAAUGGGCGCAAGCCUGACCGAGCAACGCCGCGUGGAGGAUGACGGCCUUCGGGUUGUAAACUCCUUUUCCAGGGGAUGAUGAUGACCGUACCCUGGGAAUCAGGCUCGGCUAACUCUGUGCCAGCAGCCGCGGUAAGACAGAGGAGCCAAGCGUUGUCCGGAUUGACUGGGCGUAAAGCGCACGCAGGCGGUGGGGCACGUGGGGUGUGAAAGCGGCCCGCUUAACGGGGCGAGGCCAUCCCAUACGGCCCGACUCGAGAGUGGCAGAGGUUCGUGGAAUUGCCGGUGUAGUGGUGAAAUGCGUAGAGAUCGGCAGGAACACCAAGGGGGAAACCAGCGAACUGGGCCAUAUCUGACGCUCAGGUGCGAAAGCGUGGGGAGCGAACCGGAUUAGAUACCCGGGUAGUCCACGCCGUAAACGAUGAAUACUCGGCAUCUGGUGGCCGAUCUUCGGCGGCCGGGUGCCCCAGCUAACGCGGUAAGUAUUCCGCCUGGGAACUACGAGCGCAAGCUUAAAACUCAAAUGAAUUGACGGG